This 1326-nucleotide small RNA is filed under the name Drosophila virilis. RNAcentral describes it as "GJ25859". The record is from RNAcentral. Lineage: Eukaryota; Metazoa; Arthropoda; Insecta; Diptera; Drosophilidae.
UUGCUUCUAAAGCAUUAUGUAUUUUAAAACAGGAGUGCACAAGUAGUAUUCGGCGAAUUGCUUAAAAUAAAAUCAUAUAUUUUAGUUUUUCGUGAAGCAUUAUGAACUUUAAUUCUGAUUGCUCGGCAAACUCGAAGCUGGAAAAGGAGCGUACUUAACAAAACCUAGGAGUUGGCCAAAAAUUAAUCUGACCAAAGCAAAAACAAUGGGCAAACAACAAAUUGUAAGGCACGAAAUACCAAUUGUACUAAUAUAAGGGUGUAUAUGUUAAAGCCAAAGUGAAGUUCGGAUUGGCUUAAACCAGAAUUGUUCCCUUUUUCAUGCAAAACCUUAAUUGAAGCUUUCUAGCUAUGGCCAAAAUAUCAAAAAAGUGUGUGUGCAACUUAUUUUUUGUUUCAGCCGACUUUGACCUAUGCAACAUUUCUAAAGAUUCAUGAAAUCAGGAGACAAGUUUUUACAGAAACAGGUUAUAAUAGUUUUGUGCUCUUCUAUGCGUUACAAGUUUCAUGCAAGAACUCUAAUACUCUUUACAAGGGUAUAAAAAUGCAGAUAGUAGAGAAGUAGGCAAAUCUACGGCAUGUGAGUGAGGCAACGUCAAUUGUUUAAAAGUGAAAAUUCGAUUUUGUGGUAAGGCGGAGUCGACAAAAACAACAACAGCAGACAAAUGGCAUGCAAAAUAAAGAGCAAAAAAAUUGUGCUUUUUAUAGGGUGUGUGAGUGUGUCUGUGUGUGAGUGUUGCCUUUUAGUUUGAAAAGGCUGUUAUUGUUGCAGUUGCUGUUGUUGUUAUUGCUGUUGCCUCGGCAUGCUGAUGCUUUGUGUCAAUGGGUGGACAGUUAGUUGUAUGCAUGUGUUUGUGCGCGUAUCUGUGUUGAUGUGGCCAAAAAAUAUACACAACAAUCGUGCAAGCAACACACUCACAAGCACACAACAACAAAGGGAGCAGAGUUGGGCUGGAAUCGUCAAAGACACAGCCAGCUGUUGAACCCUGGAUGAGGCAGCAUCAUGCUGCAUGUACAAAAAAAAAACAAGAGGGAAGGAUGCAAAAUCUAGCAUUGGGCAGGUGGAGCAGGAGCAGUAGCAGGACUAACAAGAAACGUAACGAUAACGAAAAACAAACUUUAAAAAUUGGAUUCUUCAUUUGCAUCGGCAAAUCCAAUCAAGCCAACGUAAAGACCCCGGCCAGACACAUGCACAACAUAAAGUCGAUGCAGAGCCAUGGACCAGGCGGCAGACGUGGUCCAAAAGCUUGCAAAACCCCACGCGGUUCGGUAUAAAAGUUGGCCACGGCACCAGCACAUGCAGACAAAAAGAAAGAAAAAGAGAGAG